UACAGAGGGUGCGAACGUUGCUCGGAAUUACUGGGCGUAAAGCGCGUGUAGGCGGGUCGGUAAGUCGGACGUGAAAUCCCCAGGCUCAACCUGGGAACUGCGCUCGAAACUGCAGGCCUUGAGUGUCGGAGAGGAUGGCGGAAUUCCUGGUGUAGAGGUGAAAUUCGUAGAUAUCAGGAGGAACACCGGUGGCGAAGGCGGCCAUCUGGACGACAACUGACGCUGAGACGCGAAAGCGUGGGGAGCAAACAGG
Molecule: ribosomal RNA, 253 nt
Filed under: uncultured bacterium
Lineage: Bacteria
Description: partial 16S ribosomal RNA
Rfam family: Bacterial small subunit ribosomal RNA
Source: RNAcentral